ACUUCGACUUGGCUAUCUUGUCCACAAAGCGCAUGAUCUUGCUGGGCCUGUGGCCUCCCACAUAGCUACGUGAGCAGAGGUUGGAAACGGAGGAGGAGGAGCAAGGGGGGGCAAGGAGUACGUGCUGAUGUCGGUGUAAACAGACAUUUUCUCACCCCUCGCCUCCGGGAAGAACAGGUUUGUCACUGAAGAGUUCUGGGGGAUCUUCCUCAUCCGACGAGCCAGCGCUAGACGACUCCUCAUCACUGUCCGCCAGACAGUAUGUCCGUGUCCUGGGCCUGUCACACACACAUAGACACACACUCACUGUUGCAAAAGUCAGCCCCUAAUGGCUUUGUAAAGAACUAUUAACAAUUGAAACUAAUUCCUAUUAAAUGUAUCCCUACUGAUAUAAAUCACAGUAAAUUAUUGUCUCCACUGACUGACACAAGAACUCUCAUCCAGAACAAAAUGUAUUGUUUCAGUGACAGACAUCUUUGGGCAUCUAUUCCCAAACUCACCAGUCAUUGGACAAAUCCACAGUGAAGCAUCCAGAGAGAGGAUUAGUAUAUAAAGAGAAGGGAGGAAGAGCCAACAGAAAAAGGCCCUUCGCCCUCCUUCCCGAGACGGGCCAGGUUCAUCUUGGUCUCUAGUGUCAUGAGGAAGGAGCCCGUGUAUGAGAUCUCCAGAUCAAACCACAGACCUGGGC
Molecule: long non-coding RNA, 688 nt
Organism: Xiphias gladius (swordfish)
Lineage: Eukaryota; Metazoa; Chordata; Actinopteri; Istiophoriformes; Xiphiidae
Exons: 3
Source: RefSeq, a predicted model, not a curated record